Long non-coding RNA from Cydia splendana, 803 nucleotides. RefSeq lists it as uncharacterized. The record is from RefSeq and is a predicted model, not a curated record. The transcript has 3 exons. NCBI's taxonomy places the organism in Eukaryota, Metazoa, Arthropoda, Insecta, Lepidoptera, Tortricidae.
CUAAUGCAAAGUGGGUGGUGGCACGGUGUACAUCUUUUUAUGUUAUUGAUAAAUAUAAAUCAAUAUGUAUAGCGUGUUAACGGCAGUGGCUCUUUUGUUUAUUUUUUGCGAUGUUAGCUACUAUAUCAGAGCGAUUGGGGUUCUUUUAUUCGGAAGACUUUACGCAAAGAAAUGCAAUAUAUCUGAAACAACAGUUCAUUAUGGCAUUUGCACAACUAGGGAUGUUGACAUCUUUUUGACGCACAUGAGUAACGCCCGGUUCCUUCGAGCGGUGGAUUUCGCCAGGCAGCACUUCUAUGACCGAACCGGCAUUUAUUCCAAACUGUUUAAGAGCACGACUUUCGUGAAGGCGUCCACUAUUCGAUAUAGACGACCAAUUGCAUUAUUCAGCCAUUAUAAAGUCGAGACCAGGAUGUUAUGCUGGGAAAAUCAGACAAUGUAUCUGGAACACAAGUUCGUCACUCUGAAAGAUACCUUUGUGAGGGCUGUGGCUCUUUCGCAAAACUACGUGGUUGGCGUUGAUUUACCUACCGCGAUGGAGGAUAUCCCAGGUGCAGAUGCCUUUAAGACUGUCCCUGAAGAAGUUACGCAGUGGCGCGAAUUUCUGGAAGCUUCGAGCGUUAGACUUAGGAAAAAGGAUUAACAUAUUUGAUCUCUAUUUCGCUCAUACCUGUAGAAAUACCUAUAGAUGAUAACAGUUCCGGUAACAGGACUAUAACCGCGAAAAUAGAAGUUCGCAAAUUGGGCAUAUCUCUCUGUCAGUCUAAUUACGCCUUCAUUGGAGUAAAAGAGAAAGAUCCCCG